UCAGGACGAACGCUGGCGGCGUGCCUAACACAUGCAAGUCGAGCGAGGAGAUUCCUCGGGAUGAUCCUAGCGGCGGACGGGUGAGUAACACGUGGGCAACCUGCCUCAUAGAGAGGAAUAGCCUUCCGAAAGGGAGAUUAAUACCUCAUAACAUUGCAGUUUCGCAUGGAACAGCAAUUAAAGGAGUAAUCCGCUAUGAGAUGGGCCCGCGGCGCAUUAGCUAGUUGGUGAGGUAACGGCUCACCAAGGCGACGAUGCGUAGCCGACCUGAGAGGGUGAUCGGCCACAUUGGGACUGAGACACGGCCCAGACUCCUACGGGAGGCAGCAGUGGGGAAUAUUGCACAAUGGGGGAAACCCUGAUGCAAGCAACGCCGCGUGAGUGAUGACGGCCUUCGGGUUGUAAAGCUCUGUCUUCAGGGACGAUAAUGACGGUACCUGAGGAGGAAGCCACGGCUAACUACGUGCCAGCCGCUGC
Molecule: ribosomal RNA, 477 nt
Filed under: uncultured bacterium
Lineage: Bacteria
Description: bacterial SSU rRNA
Rfam family: Bacterial small subunit ribosomal RNA
Source: RNAcentral